AUGCAAGUCGAGCGAGAAAGCGGGGCAACUCGUGAGUAAAGCGGUGUACGGGUGAGUAACACGUGGAUGAUCUACCCUCUAGUGGGGAAUAACCCUGGGAAACCGGGGCUAAUACCGCAUAAGCACGAGAGUGGAAAGCAGCAAUGCGCUGGAGGAGGAGUCCGCGGCCGAUUAGCUAGUUGGCAGGGUAAAAGCCUACCAAGGCAAAGAUCGGUAGCCGGCCUGAGAGGGCACACGGCCACACUGGCACUGAAACACGGGCCAGACUCCUACGGGAGGCAGCAGUGGGGAAUCUUGCACAAUGGGGGAAACCCUGAUGCAGCGACGCCGCGUGAGCGAUGAAGCCCUUCGGGGUGUAAAGCUCUUUCGGCAGGGAAGAUGAUGACGGUACCUGCAGAAGCAGCUGCGGCUAACUACGUGCCAGCAGCCGCGGUAAUACGUAGGCAGCAAGCGUUGUUCGGAGUUACUGGGCGUAAAGGGUGUGUAGGCGGUUGUUUAAGUUUGGUGUGAAAUCUCCCGGCUCAACUGGGAGGGUGCGCCGAAUACUGAAUGACUCGAGUGUGGGAGAGGUGAGUGGAAUUCCUGGUGUAGCGGUGAA
Molecule: ribosomal RNA, 598 nt
Filed under: uncultured soil bacterium
Lineage: Bacteria
Description: bacterial SSU rRNA
Rfam family: Bacterial small subunit ribosomal RNA
Source: RNAcentral